RNAcentral lists this transfer RNA (72 nucleotides) under Camelus bactrianus (Bactrian camel). It matches the Rfam family "tRNA". From Rfam's summary of the family: Transfer RNA (tRNA) molecules are approximately 80 nucleotides in length. Their secondary structure includes four short double-helical elements and three loops (D, anti-codon, and T loops). Lineage: Eukaryota; Metazoa; Chordata; Mammalia; Artiodactyla; Camelidae. The record is from Rfam by way of RNAcentral. RNAcentral also lists the same sequence under 2 other names.
GAAGGUACAGCUCAGUGGUAGAGUGUGUGCUUAGCAUGCACGAGGUCCUGGGUUCGAUCCCCAGUACCUCCA